This 198-nucleotide ribosomal RNA is filed under the name uncultured bacterium. Its description in RNAcentral is "partial 16S ribosomal RNA". It matches the Rfam family "Bacterial small subunit ribosomal RNA", at positions 328 to 539 of the family's 1533-position model. The record is from RNAcentral.
ACGCUCGACACCUACGGAGGCAGCAGUGGGGAAUAUUGCACAAUGGGGGAAACCCUGAUGCAGCGACGCCGCGUGAGUGAAGAAGUAUUUCGGUAUGUAAAGCUCUAUCAGCAGGGAAGAAGAUGACGGUACCUGAGUAAGAAGCCCCGGCUAACUACGUGCCCGGCAGCCGCGGUAAUCUGAGCGGGCUGGCAAGGC